Molecule: ribosomal RNA, 240 nt
Filed under: uncultured bacterium
Lineage: Bacteria
Description: partial 16S ribosomal RNA
Rfam family: Bacterial small subunit ribosomal RNA
Source: RNAcentral
AGCGGCGGACGGGUGAGUAACGCGUGGGUAACCUACCCUGUACACACGGAUAACAUACCGAAAGGUAUGCUAAUACGGGAUAAUAUAUUUGAGAGGCAUCUCUUAAAUAUCAAAGGUGAGCCAGUACAGGAUGGACCCGCGUCUGAUUAGCUAGUUGGUAAGGUAACGGCUUACCAAGGCGACGAUCAGUAGCCGACCUGAGAGGGUGAUCGGCCACAUUGGAACUGGGACACGGUCCAA